GCCGGUGUAGCUCAGGGGUAGAGCAGCUUAUUCGUAAUAAGCUGGCCGUCAGUUCGAAUCUGACCACCGGCU
RNAcentral lists this transfer RNA (72 nucleotides) under Ktedonobacteraceae bacterium. RNAcentral's name for it is "tRNA-Thr". It matches the Rfam family "tRNA". From Rfam's summary of the family: Transfer RNA (tRNA) molecules are approximately 80 nucleotides in length. Their secondary structure includes four short double-helical elements and three loops (D, anti-codon, and T loops). The record is from RNAcentral. Lineage: Bacteria; Bacillati; Chloroflexota; Ktedonobacteria; Ktedonobacterales; Ktedonobacteraceae.